GUAUCCUUGGAAUGUCGAUAUUGAGAUAGAUGGACCCCUAGCCAACCAUGCUAGUCGCUCUUCAAUUGUGUCAUCACCCAUCAGUCGUCACCGCAACCAAGAGGCGAAAGUAUCAAUGUGAUGAUGUGUAAUCUAGACUUCAGUCUUCCCCUGAUUUGAGGACCGUACAAUGGUCUUGUGCUCCUUCAAGUGUGGAGCCACCAGGGAUGAUUGUUGCAGAACCGUGAAGUGUGCUUUAU
This 239-nucleotide long non-coding RNA is filed under the name Setaria italica (foxtail millet). RNAcentral's name for it is "long non-coding RNA (SITA_LNC004659)". The record is from RNAcentral. Lineage: Eukaryota; Viridiplantae; Streptophyta; Magnoliopsida; Poales; Poaceae.